GAUCAUGGCUCAGAUUGAACGCUGGCGGCAGGCCUAACACAUGCAAGUCGAACGGGUAACAGGAAGAAGCUUGCUUCUUUGCUGACGAGUGGCGGACGGGUGAGUAAUGUCUGGGAAACUGCCUGAUGGAGGGGGAUAACUACUGGAAACGGUAGCUAAUACCGCAUAACGUCGCAAGACCAAAGAGGGGGACCUUCGGGCCUCUUGCCAUCGGAUGUGCCCAGAUGGGAUUAGCUAGUAGGUGGGGUAACGGCUACACCUAGGCGACGAUCCCUAGCUGGUCUGAGAGGAUGACCAGCCACACUGGAACUGAGACACGGUCCAGACUCCUACGGGAGGCAGCAGUGGGGAAUAUUGCACAAUGGGCGCAAGCCUGAUGCAGCCAUGCCGCGUGUAUGAAGAAGGCCUUCGGGUUGUAAAGUACUUCAGCGGGGAGGAAGGGAGUAAAGUUAAUACCUUUGCUCAUUGACGUUACCCGCAGAAGAAGCACCGGCUAACUCCGUG
This 504-nucleotide ribosomal RNA is filed under the name uncultured bacterium. Its description in RNAcentral is "bacterial SSU rRNA". It matches the Rfam family "Bacterial small subunit ribosomal RNA", at positions 15 to 507 of the family's 1533-position model. The record is from RNAcentral.